UCCCUGAUAGCUUAGUUGGUAAAGAAUCUGCCUGUAAAGCAGGAGACCCCAGUUUGAUUCCAGGGUAGGGAA
RNAcentral lists this transfer RNA (72 nucleotides) under Bos taurus (domestic cattle). It matches the Rfam family "tRNA". Rfam says of the family: Transfer RNA (tRNA) molecules are approximately 80 nucleotides in length. Their secondary structure includes four short double-helical elements and three loops (D, anti-codon, and T loops). Further hydrogen bonds mediate the characteristic L-shaped molecular structure. tRNAs have two regions of fundamental functional importance: the anti-codon, which is responsible for specific mRNA codon recognition, and the 3' end, to which the tRNAs corresponding amino acid is attached (by aminoacyl-tRNA synthetases). tRNAs cope with the degeneracy of the genetic code in two manners: having more than one tRNA (with a specific anti-codon) for a particular amino acid; and 'wobble' base-pairing, i.e. permitting non-standard base-pairing at the 3rd anti-codon position. Lineage: Eukaryota; Metazoa; Chordata; Mammalia; Artiodactyla; Bovidae. The record is from Rfam by way of RNAcentral. RNAcentral also lists the same sequence under 3 other names.